GCUCGGUUAGCUCAGUCGGUAGAGCAUUGGUCUUAUGAGCCAAGGGUCGUGAGUUCGAGCCUCACACCGAGCA
This 73-nucleotide transfer RNA is filed under the name Candidatus Endolissoclinum sp. TMED37. RNAcentral's name for it is "tRNA-Ile". It matches the Rfam family "tRNA". Rfam says of the family: Transfer RNA (tRNA) molecules are approximately 80 nucleotides in length. Their secondary structure includes four short double-helical elements and three loops (D, anti-codon, and T loops). Lineage: Bacteria; Pseudomonadati; Pseudomonadota; Alphaproteobacteria; Rhodospirillales; Rhodospirillaceae. The record is from RNAcentral.